GACGAACGCUGGCGGCGUGCCUAAUACAUGCAAGUAGAACGCUGAAGGAGGAGCUUGCUUCUCUGGAUGAGUUGCGAACGGGUGAGUAACGCGUAGGUAACCUGCCUGGUAGCGGGGGAUAACUAUUGGAAACGAUAGCUAAUACCGCAUAAUAGUAGAUGUUGCAUGACAUUUGCUUAAAAGGUGCAAUUGCAUCACUACCAGAUGGACCUGCGUUGUAUUAGCUAGUUGGUGAGGUAACGGCUCACCAAGGCAACGAUACAUAGCCGACCUGAGAGGGUGAUCGGCCACACUGGGACUGAGACACGGCCCAGACUCCUACGGGAGGCAGCAGUAGGGAAUCUUCGGCAAUGGACGGAAGUCUGACCGAGCAACGCCGCGGGAGUGAAGAAGGUUUUCGGAUCGUAAAGCUCUGUUGUAAGAGAAGAACGAGUGUGAGAGUGGAAAGUUCACACUGUGACGGUAGCUUAACAGAAAGGGACGGCUAACUACGUG
RNAcentral lists this ribosomal RNA (495 nucleotides) under uncultured bacterium. RNAcentral describes it as "partial 16S ribosomal RNA". It matches the Rfam family "Bacterial small subunit ribosomal RNA", at positions 28 to 507 of the family's 1533-position model. The record is from RNAcentral.